UCUUUGCUAGUAUAUCGGUUAGUACACGCGCCUGUCAUAUCACGUGGUACGCGCGAAAGCUGGGUUCGACUCCCAGGCAGAGAG
This is a non-coding RNA of Tephrocybe sp. NHM501043, 84 nucleotides long. The record is from the annotation of a GenBank genome assembly. Lineage: Eukaryota; Fungi; Basidiomycota; Agaricomycetes; Agaricales; Lyophyllaceae.